UCUGAGACGCGCAGAGACAGAGAGACAGGAAGUAGAGUGUGCGUGCGGUGUAUAACACUUGGCUGACAUCGAAAAAAGUCCGCGUAAAGUUUGCGCAAACAAAUACGAGUUGACGUGUGAAGAUUAUCUACUCAACAGUCUUCACCAGGGUAUCCCCUCCACAUAUGGCUCUUCGGUGUUUCUAUCCGACGUUCAUCAUACCGUUGUUCAGGUGUUCGUAUUUAGCUUCAGGUGUGCGUGUGUUAGCUCAUUAGCAUACGCCGUUUAUUUUAUUAGCAUUCAUUAGCAUAGCGAGUGGACACUUAGCCGCCGCAUAGCUUACCGAGCUGGCGUUGACGGCUUUAUAGUGCAUGUGUUUUCGACGUGGACACCUUGAGGAUUUAAAGAGACUGUGCCGGAGCUGUCCAGCUAACGGGUCAGCGCUCCUCCUCCUUCUGCUUCGCGGGAGAGACCUCGCCAUCUCUGGACAUCCGGUCCGCCGACGCCACCUAGAACUUCGCUCGCGGGAGACCGACAGACCGGUGACGUCAUCUGUUGACAGACACCUGCCGGCCACGUGUUCCUCGACUCAGAACCGAGCUAAGCCGUCCGUGGCUCCACUUCAGGGAAGGAGCCGGCGUGGAUGUUAAAUGAGACGAGGUGGCCCAGGACCUUCGGGCCAAGUUGGCGGACAUUCCCGUCACUGAUGGAUCCGCCGUGCAAUCAAACAUCUAGACGGUGGAGAGAGGAAGGGGUUGACAUGCGCCAAACGACCCGGACUGGACUCAAGCCCCUGACCAGAAAAGCAAGGCUUAUUCUAUCAGGUCGCGGGCGGCUGGAGCCAGCUGACAUUGGGCGAGAGAUGAUUUGCACCCUGGGCCGGUCGCCAGCGCAGCGCAGCGAUGAAUUCCCGGACCACCCGUCAGCCAGACUGAAGCUGACAGAGGAAGAGGGAGGAAGAAAGAAAGAAAGACAGACAGACAGACAGAAGGAAAAAGAGACGAUUCUGUUGUUACACACCUUGUUAAGCUUGCUUGAAGGAUGCAGGGACUCCAGCCCGGGCCAGACCUGAAGGUCACCAGAAGGUCAACAAAUACAACAGUCACCGGAGGUCACAUGUCACAGUAUGUGUGACAGGGCGCGGCUGGGCAGAAUAAGAAUGGCUCAGCAAUAAGCAUCGAGAUGGAGUUGUAAAACACACUGACAGUGUGGCUCUGGGGAGCGACUUGCUUCCCUGCGUAUGACGACUGUCUCUGUGGCAGGGAAAGAAUGCGACGAUUCUUAGCCCGUGUGUGUGUGUGUGUGUGUGGGUCCCAUGAUGAGGAGUGUCUAAUUAGGACCAGGAGGAAGCGCAGAAGGAGGUGCAGGGUCAGUCCAAAAGGAGAGAGCAGAUCGAUCAGGAUGGAAACCCCACAGCCCCCACCCCACCACUGCUGCCGCCGCCACCGUGCCCGUCACCUGCCCCAGAUAACACACCAGACCAGGAGCAGACCGCUGCCCGACCGCAGGACUGAUAGGAAUCAGGCCAUUUGCUGGAACUGCUGCAAAGUUUCUCAUGUGGGUCCACAAAAACAAAUCCAAGCAGCACCUCCGACCAAAAAACAACAACAACAAAAUAGAGGAAGAAGAGCCGCUGAUCAUCAUGAUUUCAUAAAUAUCACAACACAUGAACGUAGAACAGAAUUUUGAAUUAACUUUUUAUCAUUUCUGCCCUCGCGUACCCCUCACCAGCUAAUCCGGGAAGGUAUCAUGAAUGUAUGAUUCAUGUAGCAUGUAAGUGUGAGAGAGUAACUCAAAUAACUCUGGUGUUUUAAAAGUGAGCACAUUUCCCUUCUGCUUUGCUUUGUUUCAUCUCCCCCUCCUUUUCCACGUCUCAACUCUCACAGCUUCGAGUUCUUUUCCCUGCUUUUGCACUUUUUCCUCAUCUUUCCUCGGUCUUUGCCUUCACCAUCUCCUCAUCAUCUUUCUGCUCUUCCUGCUUCUUUCUUUCUCCUUUAAAUCUCUUUAACGCCUUCACUUCCCUCACUCCCGUUCCCCUCUCUUCUGAUGCUUUGCUCUUCCUCCUUCUCCCGUCGUAACACUUCUUCCCCUUGUUUUCCCACACCUCUCCUCUUCCUUACACCCCCUCUUCCCCAUUUCUCCUCAUCUUCUCCCCUCUCCUUUCACCCCCGUCUGUCCUUCCUUUCUUCCUGCUCUUCUCACACCUCGCGACCUUCUGCCAUUUUUCUUUUCCCCUCAUUUCCUCUCCCUCGCCGGAGAAUCAAUUUCUGCCCCAGGCACAGCCGAAGCCCUCUUCACUGCCUCACGCACACACACCCGCGCACGCGCGCGCGCACACACACACACAAACACACACACACACACACACAUCCCCUCGUUGUGGUCAGGCGACUGGGGCUGACCUUUUCACUGAUUCCCGUUAUUAGAGAAACUGACAUUCAAACCUCCCCAGCCCUCAGGACACUGAGACCACUCCUGAAUCACGCACACAUUCAAACACUCGUACACACACACACACACACACACACACACACACACACACACACACACACACACACACACACAGACAGACACAAACACACACACACAAAGCUUUCGCCGCGCUUUUUCUUUUUGUCCCAGCAUCCACUCUUAUAUCUCUCAAAAUUAAUCCAUUCACCCAACAAGUGAAAGAAGUUACUAAAAAGACGCUCAACGCGUUGAGCUGGAGGAGGAUUUCCCUCAAUCUGGCAACCCAAAGCUUCUUCUUUUUAAUGGCAUCUAUAAAUCAAUAGUGAAUGAAUCAUUAGUGAACCUUUUUCGUCUGAUUGUGAAACAUCAGCGUGAAAAUAAACACUAUGAAGAUUUAUGAUCUUGUACUGUUUUACAUCAGAUAUAUCAGUGGGGAAAACAACUCAACCCUUUCAAACUCUAAAUUACUGUUACUGAAAUAUCAACACACGUUAACAGUGGAAAAUGUGCUGCCUGCUUGUGCUCGGCUUUCAGGCUGAUUACAGUCAGGGUUGGGUUUUGAGAUGGAACCUUCACAUCACACACACACGCACAAUGUUACAAUGUGUUUUUUCGACAUUUGCAAUUUAAAGUACGUAAUAUGCAAACUUCAUUAUGUACCGCAUAUAUAAAGCACUAUAUUGUGGCAUAUUAGUGUAGAGUUAUGCAACUUUUUCAAAAGGGAAACUGUAGGGGAAUUUUUAAAUUUAAAAAAUCCCCUGUGAUGAUGUUUUUAGCUUAGAGACAAGUCAUAUCAAAGAGCCAAAAUAAACUUCAAUUUGGGGUUAGCAAAGAAAAGGUUGCAAAAAAUAUUGUAUCCACAUCCACUGUUGUCAGAAUAUUUCCUGCUUCAAUCCAGUUUUUUCAUCUGUCUCUUGCGGGUCUAAAAAUAUAAAGUGCCAAACUAAAAGAAA
Scophthalmus maximus (turbot) is the source of this 3383-nucleotide long non-coding RNA. RefSeq lists it as uncharacterized. The transcript is spliced from 9 exons. Lineage: Eukaryota; Metazoa; Chordata; Actinopteri; Pleuronectiformes; Scophthalmidae. The record is from RefSeq and is a predicted model, not a curated record.